Molecule: long non-coding RNA, 704 nt
Filed under: Arabidopsis thaliana (thale cress)
Lineage: Eukaryota; Viridiplantae; Streptophyta; Magnoliopsida; Brassicales; Brassicaceae
Description: potential natural antisense gene, locus overlaps with AT5G18240 (AT5G18245)
Source: RNAcentral
UGACAUUGUCACUCUUUGAGGUAACAGAUGGGGUCCUCUUGCCCGAAUUCGGAUAAAACCAGUUUAACCCGACCCAGAUCUAUGCGAACCGACCCGGUUUGAAAAAAGGCGUCGGACAAUCCCCAAUCUCUCGUCGUUCGACGGGGCCAUUCGUUUCUCACUUUCCGGUUUUUCUUCGAUUUGCAACGUUGUGAAUGCUUACACAUCUAUGGGUAUGUUCUUGCUUUGUUAAAAAGCACGGAGCUUUACGUCCUUCUCUCAAGAAUUUCAGUAUCUUCCAUGAAACGAAUCCCUCAAGCUAACAAAGGAAAUCAAAGGCUUUUCAUUUCCUGUGUGAUUAUCAUAAAAAGGACUUCUUCUUGAAGACGAGAUUCUCGGUUCUGCGUUGUUAACCAUUGUUGAAAGAUAUGGCCUGUUGUGAUUCUCUCUGAGGCUUUCUUCUUCUGCCCAUGUGAGCUCCAUUCUAUGGAAGAAUGGCUCUUCCAUUAUCUCUUUCUGCUCUGAAGUUGAAUCUCCAAUAUAUGUUCUUAAUCCCAGUCUGUUGUCAAGCAUCUUUGGGGCUUUCUGAGUUCCUUCACUUGAGGUUAGGCAACUGUCCAGGGAGGAGUUAGGUGGAUACGUUUUUUGCAUCUGUUGAUGGUGUAGAUUCUGCAGUUCUUUCGGUUCGAGGAAACUAGAGUCUGGAUAGUCUGCUGAUACUUUAG